RNAcentral lists this ribosomal RNA (253 nucleotides) under uncultured bacterium. Its description in RNAcentral is "partial 16S ribosomal RNA". It matches the Rfam family "Bacterial small subunit ribosomal RNA", at positions 524 to 776 of the family's 1533-position model. The record is from RNAcentral.
UACGUAGGGGGCAAGCGUUGUCCGGAUUUAUUGGGCGUAAAGAGCGUGUAGGCGGCCAGGUAGGUCCGUUGUGAAAACUCGAGGCUCAACCUCGAGACGCCGAUGGAAACCAUCUGGCUAGAGUCCGGAAGAGGAGAGUGGAAUUCCCGGUGUAGCGGUGAAAUGCGCAGAUAUCGGGAAGAACACCGGUGGCGAAGGCGGGUCUCUGGGCCGAUACUGACGCUGAGGAGCGAAAGCGUGGGGAGCGAACAGG